GAUGAACGCUGGCGGCGUGCCUAAUACAUGCAAGUCGAGCGAACGGACGAGAAGCUUGCUUUUCUGACGUUAGCGGCGGACGGGUGAGUAACACGUGGAUAACCUACCUAUAAGACUGGGAUAACUUCGGGAAACCGGAGCUAAUACCGGCUAAUAUUUUGAACCGCAUGGUUCCAAAGUGAAAGACGGUCUUGCUGUCACUUAUAGAUGGAUCCGCGCUGCAUUAGCUAGUUGGUAAGGUAACGGCUUACCAAGGCAACGAUGCAUAGCCGACCUGAGAGGGUGAUCGGCCACACUGGAACGGAGACACGGUCCAGACUCCUACGGGAGGCAGCAGUAGGGAAUCUUCCGCAAUGGGCGGAAGCCUGACGGAGCAACGCCGCGUGAGUGAUGAAGGUCUUCGGAUCGUAAAACUCUGUUAUUAGGGAAGAACAUAUGUGUAAGUAACUGUGCACAUCUUGACGGUACCUAAUCAGAAAGCCACGGCUAACUACGUG
Molecule: ribosomal RNA, 497 nt
Filed under: uncultured bacterium
Lineage: Bacteria
Description: partial 16S ribosomal RNA
Rfam family: Bacterial small subunit ribosomal RNA
Source: RNAcentral